CGGGGUAACGGCCCACCAUGUCAGCGAUGGGUAGCCGAGCUGAGAGGCUGAUCGGCCACACUGGAACUGAGACACGGUCCAGACUCCUACGGGAGGCAGCAGUGGGGAAUAUUGGGCAAUGGGCGCAAGCCUGACCCAGCAACGCCGCGUGAGGGAAGAAGGCUUUCGGGUUGUAAACCUCUGUCCUUGGUGACGAAAAAAUAGACGGUAGCCAAGGAGGAAGCCCCGGCUAACUACGUGCCAGCAGCCGCGGUAAUACGUAGGGGGCGAGCGUUGUCCGGAAUUACUGGCGUAAAGGGUAGCGUAGGUGGCCUUUUAAGUUGGAUGUGAAAUACCCGGGCUAACUGGGGGUGGCAUCUAAUACUGGAGGGCUAGAGUGCAGGAGAGGAAAGCGGAAUUCCUAGUGUAGCGGUGAAAUAGCGUAGAUAUUAGGAGGAA
RNAcentral lists this ribosomal RNA (438 nucleotides) under uncultured bacterium. Its description in RNAcentral is "bacterial SSU rRNA". It matches the Rfam family "Bacterial small subunit ribosomal RNA", at positions 253 to 706 of the family's 1533-position model. The record is from RNAcentral.